UAGGGAAUCUUCCACAAUGGACGCAAGUCUGAUGGAGCAACGCCGCGUGAGUGAAGAAGGUCUUCGGAUCGUAAAGCUCUGUUGUUGGUGAAGAAGGAUAGAGGCAGUAACUGGUCUUUAUUUGACGGUAAUCAACCAGAAAGUCACGGCUAACUACGUGCCAGCAGCCGCGGUAAUACGUAGGUGGCAAGCGUUGUCCGGAUUUAUUGGGCGUAAAGCGAGCGCAGGCGGAAUGAUAAGUCUGAUGUGAAAGCCCACGGCUCAACCGUGGAACUGCAUCGGAAACUGUCAUUCUUGAGUGCAGAAGAGGAGAGUGGAACUCCAUGUGUAGCGGUGGAAUGCGUAGAUAUAUGGAAGAACACCAGUGGCGAAGGCGGCUCUCUGGUCUGCAACUGACGCUGAGGCUCGAAAGCAUGGGUAGCGAACAGGAUUAGAUACCCUGGUAGUCCAUGCCGUAAACGAUGAGCGCUAGGUGUUGGGGAC
Molecule: ribosomal RNA, 483 nt
Filed under: uncultured bacterium
Lineage: Bacteria
Description: partial 16S ribosomal RNA
Rfam family: Bacterial small subunit ribosomal RNA
Source: RNAcentral